CGUUGGCCUGAACGCAUUGCUGUGUCGUCGACUUUUCGCAUCGCGUCUGUGCACGAAUUACGAACUUUUGUGUUAUCUGUGCUCCGAAAUGGAUAUACUAACCCUGGACCCGACUGGACUGUAUUAAAAAACCCAACAUGGAAGCCAUAACACUCGAUCCGACCGGUCAAUAUUGACGAUGGCUAAGAGUUUGGACCCUACCGGUGUGUAUUGAACUUUCUUAUUAGAAUCUUACCAGAAUGGAAGUAUUGGAUCCUACUGGGCAAUAUUAACUUCAAAAUGAUCGGGCUAGACCCAACAGAAAUCUAUUGAUAUCUAUCGCUAGACAACAAGAUGUGCUGCGGGAGACGAAUUAUCCGUACAGGCGCUCGUCCAGAAGAAACCUCAUCGUGUAGAAAGAGGAGGUACAGAACGAUUACAUAAAUUGGUUGCUCAAUAUCAACGACUGUAAAUAGUAAGGAAAAAAUGAAGGGGGACGAAUUGGCAAGGUCAUUGGUUGGAUAUCAGCUGACUACGCGGCUGCAUUCAGGAAAUAUAUUGGAUAUGCAGAAGAUGCGGCGGCGUGGCGGCCAGAAUUAUACAAUUUAGAACGCGUUCGACAGAUCACAAAAAUUUUGAAUGAGAUAUAAUGGACGAUGGUUUUCCGCUUCGCACAUCGAGUUUUUCUACAAUCUAUGACCCUCCAACCUUCGUGUUAAUACUCAUUAGAUUUAAGAUGCUAAUUGACUGAUUGUUCUCUCGUCAACUUGCACAUAUCUUUCAUGCAUUUGUAUUUUUAAAUUAUUUUAUUUAAAAAAAAGAAUGAUGCGUUGUUGACGGAAUGGCAGAUAAUUUAAUUUAGUAAUUUAUGAUUCGGAAUAAAUCAAAAUUGAAAUAAGAUUAGUAUUUAUCAUAGAAAUGUAAGUAAUUGUCAUUCUGUCAGUGACGUUUAUCUUCUUCUAGAAUCUAGGUUAAGUUAUAAAAGACAAGCAAAAAGAGGCAAAGGGUUUUUUGAAUGGUUCUCUUCAUCUAAACUGUAUAUUAUCCGAGUAACCUUCAAAAUUUACCGUAUUAUAAUACCUAUGUAAAAGGGAAAAAUUAUUUAGCGAUUAGUUUGUAUAAUCUACUUCUUAUUCGAAUAAAUCGAGUUACCAUUUUUUUUUCUUUUUGCUUUCGCAAGUGUAAAUAACCGCUUGUGCUUUUUUUUUAAAUUGAACUGAAAUAGUAAUUGAGACUGUACUAACAAUGAAUUCAGUGCUGUCAAUAAAGACUGAUCGGGACACAAAAGUGCUGCUAUGAAAUCUCUAGCCCAUCUGGAUCCCACCCUAGUGUAAUUCAAAACAUGUAAUUCAUUUUAUUUAGUCUUAAGUGUAUGUAAUAAAGAUGUUUAUAUUAUAA
This is a long non-coding RNA of Colias croceus (clouded yellow), 1377 nucleotides long. RefSeq lists it as uncharacterized. The record is from RefSeq and is a predicted model, not a curated record. Lineage: Eukaryota; Metazoa; Arthropoda; Insecta; Lepidoptera; Pieridae. The transcript is spliced from 2 exons.